Molecule: unclassified non-coding RNA, 862 nt
Filed under: Athalia rosae (coleseed sawfly)
Lineage: Eukaryota; Metazoa; Arthropoda; Insecta; Hymenoptera; Athaliidae
Description: misc RNA ENSAEAG00005008135.1
Source: RNAcentral
CCCCUGUCACUUCCAAGACAUCGUCCUCUGUGAUCUCAAUGCCUUUGCCCUUCAGCCUUGUGACUGAUUGUAGACAUGUAAUAGCUCGUCUCAUAUCACCUCCUGAUGCCUCGACAACUUUGGUUAAAGCACUUGUAUCAGCCUUCAAAUCCUCCUCUUUACAAAUAAGUUCCAGCCGCUCGAUGAUUUUUUCUUCACCCAAUGUGGCACUGGCAGUUAGCUGCGCAAAUGUUUUCACCUUUUCUCUGAUGACUUGAAUGCCACGUUCGUCAGAGGCAUUUAACUCAAGUAUUCUUUCUUUGUACAUGUCUCCAAACAACUGUCUUGCAGCUGCUAAUAUUGUGCUAGUUUUUCCUGUUCCAGGUGGUCCGUAGAAUAAAAGAUUUGGAAAAUCUCCUCCCAGUAAACAUUGCUGCAGGACCUUGACUACCUCACCUUGUUCCACGACCUCCUCCACAGUCUUGGGUCUGCUGUGAUUAAAGAAAAAUUGGAUCACAAGAAAUCUUCUCAUUAGGGGGUGAUCUUUCUCAAAAUGCACCAACUAUUUUUCAACCCAUGGUGGCGAAGGACCUUUAUGCCUAUCUGAUGAGGUUGAACUAGAAGCUUUCUUGUCAGUUGCUCCCAACUUUCCUGUUUUCAGAAACGCCUGCAUGGUUAUCAAAAUUUAAAUAAAAUGAAAUCGUACAAGGGACCGGUACGUUUAUUGCAGAGUAUAGCGAAACAGGAAACUGGCUAGAACACAAAAACCCGCCAAAACUUGUGACCGGCUUCACCAGGGUGCCGUAUAACGAAUUCAGAAAAGGUUCAACUAUGUUUAUUUAUCUCUUUUUACUUUCUUUUCCUUAAUUUUUUAUGAUUUACU